AGUGAAUAGAUACCCUGGUAGUCCACGCCCUAAACUAUGUCAACUAGUUGUCGGACCUUAAUAGGUUUGGUAAACGUAGCUAAACGCGUGAAAGUUGACCGCCUGGGGAGUACGGUCGCAAGAUUAAACUACAAAGGAAUUGACGGGGACCCGCACAAGCGGUGGAUUAUGUGGAUUAAUUCGAUGCAACGCGAAAAACCUUACCUACCCUUGACAUGUGCAGAAUUUAAUCAGAGAUGAGAAAGUGCUCGAAAGAGAACUGCAACACAGGUGCUGCAUGGCUGUCGUCAGCUCGUGUCGUGAGAUGUUGGGUUAAGUCCCGCAACGAGCGCAACCCUUGUCAUUAAUUGCCAUCAUUUAGUUGGGCACUUUAAUGAGACUGCCGGUGAUAAACCGGAGGAAGGUGGGGAUGACGUCAAGUCCUCAUGGCCCUUAUGGGUAGGGCUUCACACGUAAUACAAUGGCGCGUACAGA
This 474-nucleotide ribosomal RNA is filed under the name uncultured bacterium. RNAcentral's name for it is "bacterial SSU rRNA". It matches the Rfam family "Bacterial small subunit ribosomal RNA", at positions 774 to 1243 of the family's 1533-position model. The record is from RNAcentral.